This 403-nucleotide ribosomal RNA is filed under the name uncultured bacterium. RNAcentral's name for it is "partial 16S ribosomal RNA". It matches the Rfam family "Bacterial small subunit ribosomal RNA", at positions 29 to 526 of the family's 1533-position model. The record is from RNAcentral.
AUUGAACGCUGGCGGCAGGCCUAACACAUGCAAGUCGAGCGAGCGGCGGACGGGUGAGUAAUGUAUGGGGACUGCACGAUAGAGGGGGAUAACUACUGGAAACGGUGGCUAAUACCGCAUACUAUCGGAUAACCCAUAUGGGAUUAGCUAGUAGGUGGGGUAAAGGCUCACCUAGGCGAGGAUCUCUAGCUGGUCGGAGAGGAUGAUCGGCCAACCGGGGACUAGAAACCGGCCCGGACCCCAAGGGAGGCAGCAGUGGGGAAUAUUGCACAAUGGGCGCACGCCUGAUGCAGCCAUGCCGCGUGUAGGAAGAAGGCCUUAGGGUUGUAAAGUACGUUCAGCGGGGAGGCGUUACCCGCAGAAGAAGCACCGGCUAACUCCGUGCCAGCAGCCGCGGUAAUAC